CUGAGUGUAAAAACUCCCAAACCCUAUGCAAACCUACCAAAGUUGCUUCGGCGGACCGCCCCGGGUGCCCUGCGCCCCCGGACCCAGGCGGCCGCCGGAGGCUCCAAACCCUGAAUUACAGUGGAUUUCUGAGUGGCAUAAGCAAAUAAAUCA
This 153-nucleotide unclassified non-coding RNA is filed under the name uncultured Hypocreales. RNAcentral's name for it is "sequence contains ITS1". The record is from RNAcentral. Lineage: Eukaryota; Fungi; Ascomycota; Sordariomycetes; Hypocreales.